UACGUAGGGUGCGAGCGUUGUCCGGAAUUAUUGGGCGUAAAGAGCUCGUAGGCGGUGUGUCGCGUCGGCCGUGAAAACCCGGGGCUCAACUCCGGGCCUGCAGUCGAUACGGGCUGGCUUGAGUGCGGUAGGGGAGACUGGAAUUCCUGGUGUAGCGGUGAAAUGCGCAGAUAUCAGGAGGAACACCGGUGGCGAAGGCGGGUCUCUGGGCCGUAACUGACGCUGAGGAGCGAAAGCGUGGGGAGCGAACAGG
This 253-nucleotide ribosomal RNA is filed under the name uncultured bacterium. RNAcentral's name for it is "partial 16S ribosomal RNA". It matches the Rfam family "Bacterial small subunit ribosomal RNA", at positions 524 to 776 of the family's 1533-position model. The record is from RNAcentral.